This 107-nucleotide microRNA precursor is filed under the name Procavia capensis (Cape rock hyrax). RNAcentral's name for it is "miRNA (ENSPCAG00000019225.1)". The record is from RNAcentral. Lineage: Eukaryota; Metazoa; Chordata; Mammalia; Hyracoidea; Procaviidae.
GUAUGUGUGGGGGAAUACAAUUGCAUCUGCUUGUUCAUGUAUUUUAUAUAAAUACACAUACAUACACACACACGCAUACACAUAUUUCCAGAAAGAUACACAAGAAA